This is a non-coding RNA of Rhopilema esculentum, 3818 nucleotides long. The record is from RefSeq and is a predicted model, not a curated record. Lineage: Eukaryota; Metazoa; Cnidaria; Scyphozoa; Rhizostomeae; Rhizostomatidae.
UAGAGUUCAAAUGCCUGUUUAAGUUGCGGGGAGAAGGGUGAAGAAGAAGGAGCAGACGGACUGGAUUUUUUAUACAUUGAUGAAUACAACAAAUCGAACCUAAAAAAGCAACAUAAAUAUUAUUCACAAGUUACGACACAAAUGGCUUUAACUGGAGGGAAAAGGUGCUAUUUUGUCGUGUGGAGUCCGAGAAGGGAACCACUUAUCGAACAAGUCAAAGUUGAAGAAAGACACUGGUCAGACCUGGAAAGAAAUGCUUUUCUUUUUUUCAACGGGUAUGUGGUUCCAGUGCUUCUGGAAAGAAAGCAGAUUUAUUACUGCCCCGAAAGGGAGAGGAGAAACCAUGCUUGGAGAAAGAAGAGACACUGGACAAAUCAGAAAACAGUAUUAAGUGCACUGAGUGUUCAUUUGGUACCAUUUGGUUUGUGUUGGAAUUACAAGAGACAGGGAGCGAUAUUGGAUUUGUGAGAGGUGCCUGUUAUUGUCAGUUUUGCCGUAUGAAAACGUAUCCAUUAUAGACGAUAGUGACAAAUCACAAUUAACUAUACCAUGACUUGAUUUAUAUAAUAUGCCACUUUGUUCCUGCCCUGAUUUGAAAAUGUUUGCAUAUCCUUGUAAAUUUUUUUUGCAAUAUUUGUCAAGUAUCCUUCAUGGUCCUGGGAUGCCUUGCCCUCUGCAUACUUCUGGACCAGCAGAACCCACAGUCAGAGAGCUCAUUGACGAUAACAAUUCCCUUAUUUCAAAACUGCACACAAAGCUCUAGGAGAUAAAAUCUUUGAUUUACAAAGAAGCACCAGCUGUGAAGGGCAUUCAUCUUCGACAAGUUACACCAAAGAAGAAACCUAUAAAGAAAAUGAAAAGUUUAAUUAAAGGAAACAGAGAAAGAGGCUAAAGAAAGACUUGCCACAUCACCAUAGACAAGUCUGAAGCUUUUUUAAGGAGGAUGUAGUAGAUAAUAUUGUAAGCGGCAAUCAAGAACAACUAGGUUCUACAAUUUUUUGUAACAUCAGUUGACAGAGCUACAGCAGGAGACAAUUGAACAGAUUUUGUUGAAAAAAAUACAAAAUUUUUUGUUGGAAGGCAGCGACUGAACAAACAUGACUUUAAAAAGAUAUCAGAGAAUGGCAUGCUUAAUAACUCAAUAAUCAAUGUAUUCCAAAUUCUGAUGCUGAAGGAACACCCUGAGUCAAAUGAUUUACAAGACCCUUUUCUUGGGCAAAACAUGUUUUUUACUGUACACCACGACAAACUUUUUGUUCAAAUCCUCUAUGAUGGAAAACUACAUUGGAUUGCUGUUUCAACAUAUGUAUGUGGGCCUGGGAAGGUCUUCUACUUCGACCGUUUGUGUUCUCUGGUAGAAUAUCUGAAAAAGUUAAUCAACUAUUAGGUGCAGUCAUGCAUUCUUCAAGGUCAAUUUUGAAAAUAAAUGUUGUCCCAGUUCAACAGCAAUCAAAUAGAGUGGGCUGUGAUGCAAAUGCCAUUGCCUUUACAAAUUACGUUCUAAAGGAAAAGAGAAAUCCCACUGAGGUGACAUUUGACCAAGAGACAAUGAAGCAUAAUCUAUUAAGGUCCUUAGCAGCAAAAACAAUGCUUCCCUUUCCGACAACAACAAGAACUAUAAGAAGAUGCUGCACAAAAACGAUUUCAUUUGACGUAUAUUGUUCUUGUAUAAUGCGCUGGGUACCAUUCCACAACAACAUUUUUGAAAGGUAAAUUAAUUACACAUUUACUCGCAAUCAUUCAAUUUUAAAAAACUUGUCAAUUUCCUCUCUAAGAUAUUAAAAUGUCUUAUUUUAGAUGUGUAUUUGAAUUCGUGAAUCCAAAAAUAAAAUUAUGUUGAACUUGCUUUAUUUCAACAAAGAUAUUCUGUUGCCUUUAGAGAAAUAUUAAGCAGUUCCAUAAAAAUUGCUAAAAAUAUUUUUUAAAAAUUGUUUUGCAUUUUAGACACAUUUGAAAGGUAAUUAAGAAAUCUAACUUUUCACUAAAAGUUCAGCUUUUCAAAAACUUCAAAAACUUCAGAAACAGAGGCUUAUGAAGUUCUUCUAUUUUACUGUGGAAGGAAAUUGCUUCGAAAUUGGGUUGGAGAUGAAAAUUCGGCCAUAGUAAGUAUUCUUCAUUUCAAAAAGAUAUUCUUUUACCUUAACUCUUAUCCAUCGUGUUUGAUUGAGUGUUGUUGAUAUCAAAGUCAAAUGAAUUAAAUCCUAUUUUUUCCUAUUUGAAAUUAUACAAUUUGAAAAGCUAACCUUAAAUCAUAUUUCUUCCAGAUUUUAGCAUAUUUGGUUGGCGGCCAAGAGUUAAUAACUCCUGUACGUGCAUGGGAAAUUCUUGAAAAACCACUGCGUUUGCAUCAAGAUCCUUAAGUGGAACUUCUAUAAAUCUAUCAGACAAAGAAUCUACUGUCUGCCGAUAAUUUCGGUGAUUUGGAUGAUUUGGAUAAAUCUACGUGCACUGCUGCUUGGCAUUCCUUUUCGAACUCGAAGCGGUUGUCGACGGUUGCAUUCUGUGCUACGGUGCUACAGUGCUACCGUGCUACAGCUACAGCUACAGGUGAGUCUUGCUAGCUUUUUAUAAGCUUUUCGUUGUCAUUUUCCUUUCCUUUUUAUCGAUCGAUCGAUACUCCGUUUGUUGUUAUUUCGUUUCCAAGAGCCAUGUAAUUCGUGGUUUUGACGAUCUUCCUUUUCUUUGUUUUAGUAGCUACAUACGGUACGCACACUGCUGCCCGUUUUUUGGUUUUUUGCGAUGGCUGCUGGCUGUUCUUCUUCUUCACUAGCAUCAGAAUCGAUGGCAUGCGAAUACAAGUAAGCGUUGUUGUUCUUACGUGUUUGUCAUUUAAAUUAUUUGACAUGAUUUUCUGCUCAUUUGGAUGAAAUUGCACUAAAAACCAGCUGCUAGACCCCCGCCACGAACGAAAAAAUUUUACCUCUUCUCGUGGUUUUGUGCUAAAAGAAAACUGGAUAGGUUUUAUUGCAAUCAAAAUGGUAGAUUUUUCCUGCUGUUUAUUCUUGAUGCAAGAAAAUUUGAUUUUAAUAGGAAACCCGUUGAGAAUUAUGUAAUGGCAGCUGCCAACUUUUUAUGCCAAGUGAGUAUUUUUUGAUUAAAAUUUCACUUUUAAUGCGAUUUUCCCACUGAGAAUGAAUCAUUCUAGAAACCAUUUCAAAUGAUUUUAUGCUUACUUUGAUGGAAUUACACUAAAAACCGGUCGCUUACUACUAGGCCCCCGCCGCGAACUGCAAAUUUCUACCUCUUUUCGUGGUUUUGUAAUGAAAGGAAGCUGGAUUGUUACGGUAGAUUGUGCCUGCAUCAUUUUCGGAAUUGUAAAUGAAUCAUUCUAGAAACCAUUUAGGCACGUAAAUGAAUUUACGUGCCAGUGUGAUUCUGGCUAUGUAGGGCGCACAACCCAAAGAUUGGGGGAUAGGAUAAAACAGCAUGUUCCUUCCAACAUACGAAACAAAACUGCCCCUCAAAGAGAACAGCCUCCUCGAUCUUGUAGGUCUAGAAACACUGUUAAAACAAGUGAUUCUGCCAUUGGUCAACAUCUUUUAGACAACCCAGAUUGUGCAAAACUCUAUAAUGCCGACAUGUUUCGGAUAAUUGGCAGAGCCCGGUCGUCCUUCCAUCUAGCAGUUUUGGAGUCAAUCUACAUAAAAACGAAAAAGCCGCCAUUGUGUAGACAAAAGGAGUUCGUUUUCUCUCUUGGACUCCAUUGGUAAAUUUUCUUUAGGCUCGCGGCACUGAUUGGUCAACUAUACCGGUCUUGUGCUUGCGUUUUUCUGAUUGGCCUAUUUCGAUCCACAACUGGGUAUAUAUUUUUCCAUCGU